AUAUUUCUAUUCCCACUUUGUCACUGGUUGUAAGAGCUGCUAACAGAUGGCUAUAUCUUCUAGCCAGAAAAUUUCUUCUCUAGCAGCACUCUAGGUGCAGAUGGCCAACUGCCAGGAAGUGCUGGCCAAUUAUGAUUUCCUCACAUGGAAAUCACCCUUCUCGUCCUUUCCUUGCUAUCAUCUGGGAGCUGUUUGAGAAGUCCAUGAAAGUGGGUUGUUUCUGAAGAUCAGCAAGCAGCUAUAUUCCAAUGAUGAUGCCUUGGCUACUGUGCCAGUGCCCAUAGUCCUUCUGAGCAGAGUCUCAUGGCUGAAGAGUUCCAGUCUUUGGCCACCCAUCCAGACCAUGACUGAGGACACCUCUCAAAGGUUUGGGAUUGUUCAGUGUCAAACUGAUGAUGUCUUUCAAUACCAUAAAGACUCUACAGCUGUUCUUAGGCCAUUCAGCCUGUGCCCACCCACACCACCCUCCCAGUCUGCAAGAAAUCAACACUCAACCAUUUUUAGAGGCCAGAUCUCAGGAGAGUGGAAGUUGCUGACGAGGCAGUGAACAGAAAGCCAUGGCAACCCUUCAGUGAAAUCAAUGGAUUAUGGGAGUUUGGAUCCUCCAGUGCUUGGCAAAGCAGAACCGUGCAGAUGAUCCAACAUACAAUGGGGACAAAGCACAUGGUGAGGAGA
This is a long non-coding RNA of Mauremys mutica (yellowpond turtle), 675 nucleotides long. RefSeq lists it as uncharacterized. The record is from RefSeq and is a predicted model, not a curated record. Lineage: Eukaryota; Metazoa; Chordata; Testudines; Geoemydidae. The transcript has 4 exons.